AUACGAAGGGGGCUAGCGUUGUUCGGAUUUACUGGGCGUAAAGCGCACGUAGGCGGAUUGAUAAGUUAGGGGUGAAAUCCCGAGGCUCAACCUCGGAACUGCCUCUAAUACUGUCAAUCUCGAGACCGGAAGAGGUGAGUGGAACUCCUAGUGUAGAGGUGGAAUUCGUAGAUAUUAGGAAGAACACCAGUGGCGAAGGCGGCUCACUGGUCCGGUACUGACGCUGAGGUGCGAAAGCGUGGGGAGCGAACAGGAUUAGAUACCCUAGUAGUCC
RNAcentral lists this ribosomal RNA (274 nucleotides) under uncultured bacterium. Its description in RNAcentral is "partial 16S ribosomal RNA". It matches the Rfam family "Bacterial small subunit ribosomal RNA", at positions 523 to 796 of the family's 1533-position model. The record is from RNAcentral.